CAGUAGCCGCGGGAAUACGGAGGGUGCAAGCGUUAAUCGGAAUUACUGGGCGUAAAGCGUGCGUAGGCGGUUCGUUAAGUCUGUUGUGAAAGCCCCGGGCUCAACCUGGGAAUGGCAAUGGAUACUGGCGAGCUAGAGUGUGUCAGAGGAUGGUGGAAUUCCCGGUGUAGCGGUGAAAUGCGUAGAGAUCGGGAGGAACAUCAGUGGCGAAGGCGGCCAUCUGGGACAACACUGACGCUGAGGCACGAAAGCGUGGGGAGCAAACAGGAUUAGAGACCCCGGUAGUCCCUGUCUCUUAUAC
Molecule: ribosomal RNA, 301 nt
Filed under: uncultured bacterium
Lineage: Bacteria
Description: partial 16S ribosomal RNA
Rfam family: Bacterial small subunit ribosomal RNA
Source: RNAcentral